CCUGCAUUCAACUACCUGAAGCCAUGCAUCUGUAAUGAACUUGAGCUGAGAUUCAGGGGUGCAAUGUAUGUCACUAAGUUUCUCAAGCAAUUGAUUGCUUGCCCAUCGUUCAUAAUAAUGAGUGUAUCUCUCCAAAGAAUUUUUUGCCAUUUCUCGCCUCCUCUCUGCUUCAUCAUACGCUCCCUCUUGUUUAGCUGCCUCGUAUCGAUUACAAGCAUAGAAACCACCAGUCCUCUCACCAUGAUCUGACCAUGCACCAAGGCAUAGCCAGCAAAACUCAAAUUUACAGGGUGGCGUGCAUGUCAUGUGCAUACACCCUUGGUUUUUUUCAAUCGGACGCUUGCACUUUGGGCAAGGCUUGGAGUUGGCAAGUAUCCAAUUCAUGUUUUCAGACUCUGCACUAUUCUUCAAAAUCCACUUCGCCACAGUUCCACAGUCCACAGGACGGUGAGCUUCCUCUGUGCAAUUCCAGCAAAAGCUGUACGAACAGAGGCAGGAAACAUCAAAGCUUCCACCACCACCACCAAAAUCAACAGCAUACUCGCACCCUGGAGCAGGACACCACUUUGUCUUUCUGUUGUCUUCAAUGUAGGAUCUAAGAAGAUAACGAGAGUAUUUAUCCUUAACUUCAUCAGAUGCCAACAAAUUUAUCAUGUCCUGACCAAUAGCAGCCCAACAAGAUGGAUCAGGGCAUCUCAGCAUCAAACAUCCAGGACCAUCAUUUAUGGUUGUACUAAUGUAACCUGACCAGCAUGACCUACAAAAGGGAUGCCCACAAGCAGCUGAGGAAAUCUUAUCGUGAGGAAAGGGUUCAAAACAAAUCCCACAAGUAAGUUCUCUAGCAUUGGAAAAUUGAACAACUGGUGUGUCCAGCAAGCCAACAGAUUUCCGGACUGCCUCUUCAUCAGCGAACCAUUCAUCAUGCACCUUACUAAUGCUCCAAUUAUAGUGACGGAGUAAGAUGCUUGCAUCAAAUCUAGAUAUUGAAAGGACAGUGGACACUCUAGUAAUAUCAUCUUCUUGGCAUCGUCGUAUAUCUUCUUCCUUCAGGACGGUAUAACUUUGCUGCGUCCUGCUCAACACAGCAUCAUCAAGAUCAUCAGGGGCCUCGGCCAUGAAAUCAUAGUCAGGGCCAUCAUCAUCAUAAUCCUCACCACCAUUGCCAUCGCCGUCACUGUAACAAUCCUCCUCCAUGUCGCCGCUGUAGAAAUCAUCGUCCACAGAAUCAACAUCGUUGGCGUCCAUCAUAUCGUCCUCAGAAUCCAUAGCGAAAAGGAGCUAGGAAGAAGAGGAUAAUCCGAAAAACCUAAGAAAAAUUCGAGGGUUUGGGGUUGUUUGGUAAGGAGGAAACAGAUUGCAAAGUUCGAAAGAAUGAGGGAGAAUUUCUUAGAGAUCUGUAUUUAUAAGACUGAGGGAUUCUCUUUUAGCAGGCUUU
Molecule: unclassified non-coding RNA, 1435 nt
Filed under: Hevea brasiliensis (rubber tree)
Lineage: Eukaryota; Viridiplantae; Streptophyta; Magnoliopsida; Malpighiales; Euphorbiaceae
Source: RNAcentral